CAGGAGCAGGGACCGAGCAACGGGAGCUCACCCUGUGUUGCUGUAUGUCGGUUUUAUCUUAUUUGUUUUUUAUCUUACAUUUUGGAAAUGUACAUCCAGUUUUUUCUCCUUUAAUUUUUUGGGGGGAACUUCGGGUGAGUCAGGCCCUAAGCUACAGCUUAUUUAGCUUAUACGUGAAUCCAGCACUGGGGGUCAGGCAGCAAGGCUUCUGAACACUGGUUGCUGGGGGCGAUAAUUGCUCUUGCCAUUGGCCUCAUCCGGCAGAUUCUUAUGUUCAAUGCAGGAGUGCCAACUUGGCCCUGUGACUGUGGGUGCCCGGGGCCAUAGGUGUCAUGUAGCCCUGGUGCCAAAAUUUGUGGGUGCCUGGCCCCUUCAUGGGGAAUUCUGUGGGCACCCAGGGCCCCAGGGAGCCAGCACCUAUGGUUUAAUGUGUAUGUGCCACUUUGCUAAAAGAGUGAUUUUAUUUUUAUUUUAACAAACGCGGGUGUUAUGUGGCACUUGUUAACAGUGCCAGUAUAUUAGGCCAGUAUAUCUCUGUCCUGAGAUCUUCGGAUGAAGGGGGGGGGGGUGUACAAAUUUAAUAAAGAAAUAUGAAUAAAACGUUAGUUGAAGUUUCAUACCACAAUCUGCAUGUUAGGAGAGACCCAACCCGUUCUGAAUCUCCCAUCCAGCUUCCCACACUUCUUGGUGGAAAGCAAAUUGGACGGGAAUCAGAAAAGUGAGAUCAUCCCUUUGGCACUGAAAUAUCCGCAUUGGACAUCAAAGCUGAAAGGGAUCUGAGAAUUCAGGGAGUGUUGGGUUGGGUGCAGCUUGGGAGGGACCAAAAGAUCCCACCUUCUCACCCGUCUCAAACCCCAAAACCUUUGGGAAGAGGAGAGUGGCAGGUUAAGGGAGGAGGAAGAAAACUCCCCAGCAUUGUCUGAAGGUAGUUAAGGCGUUGCUAGGAAAUUACAAAUUAUUGAGUCGUUCUGGAUGAAUGUGGCAGGAUGGAGUACUUGGCUGACAGGAAGAGAACACCCACCUUGCAAGGAGUUGCCAUGGGGACUGUUGCAUGCUUACAGGCGCCUGUUCAGCCAUGGGGGGGGGGUCAUUUAAAUCGACCCUCUUUAAACUUCCCUGCCCCCCAAGUCUCCUCUGUCUGGCUAAACAGCCUCAGAGAUAUGCCCUGAAGCAUAUGUCCAGCUUCAGCCAAGGGGGGCAAUGUACACCAGCCGUUAACCUCUUCGACCUCUCCUCAACAAUUCUGUCAAAUUCACAAUUUAUUUAUCUUAUUUAUUCACCUCAUUUAUAUCCAACCCUUUUCUCCAAGGAGCUCGAGGUGUCUUUUCGUGGUUCUGCCCCUCUGUUUUAUCCUCCCCACAACCCUGAAAGGUAGGGCAGGCUGAGAGGCAGUAGCUAGCCCAACGAGCUUCACACCCAGCAAGCUUCAUGGAUGAGUGGGGAUUUGGUUUUUUUUUUGGUUUUUUAAUAAUUUUUAUUAAAGUUUCAAUCAAAAAUUG
Podarcis lilfordi (Lilford's wall lizard) is the source of this 1499-nucleotide non-coding RNA. Lineage: Eukaryota; Metazoa; Chordata; Lepidosauria; Squamata; Lacertidae. The record is from the annotation of a GenBank genome assembly.